This 424-nucleotide ribosomal RNA is filed under the name uncultured bacterium. RNAcentral's name for it is "partial 16S ribosomal RNA". It matches the Rfam family "Bacterial small subunit ribosomal RNA", at positions 354 to 796 of the family's 1533-position model. The record is from RNAcentral.
GUGGGGAAUAUUGGACAAUGGGCGCAAGCCUGAUCCAGCCAUGCCGCGUGAGUGAUGAAGGCCCUAGGGUUGUAAAGCUCUUUCACCGGUGAAGAUAAUGACGGUAACCGGAGAAGAAGCCCCGGCUAACUUCGUGCCAGCAGCCGCGGUAAUACGAAGGGGGCUAGCGUUGUUCGGAAUUACUGGGCGUAAAGCGCACGUAGGCGGACUGGUCAGUUAGGGGUGAAAUCCCAGGGCUCAACCCUGGAACUGCCUUUAAUACUGCCAGUCUAGAGUUCGAGAGAGGUGAGUGGAAUUCCGAGUGUAGAGGUGAAAUUCGUAGAUAUUCGGAGGAACACCAGUGGCGAAGGCGGCUCACUGGCUCGAUACUGACGCUGAGGUGCGAAAGCGUGGGGAGCAAACAGGAUUAGAUACCCUAGUGUCC